AUAGAUACAAGGUAGUAUUAGGAGAUGAGAGAGAGAUAGAAAUAGAUAGUAUUAUUUAUUCCAUAUGGGUAGUCCAUAUGCUUAUGGAUAAUUUUUGUUAUUUUCUUCAUAUGGACUAGUUGCACAAUGAUAAUAGGUAGCUGAAUGGAAUAUAAUAUUGCCUAUGGACUACUUUUGCUUCACAUUGUGGAUACCCUAACCUGAAACGGAGGAAGUAGAUGAUAUCCCACGCGUUAAAGUGAAAACUUUUGAAACCAUGUCCACCCGUACACAUGUUAUAUAAAAUUAUGCUUCUAGAUCCAAUAUCAAUAAUAUAUACUCCCAUAACAAACAUAUUCCAAAAGUUUUCACUAUAACGCGUGGGAAAACAAGUUUGCCCAAAACACGUUAAUUGAAUAUAUGCCAUUAAAAA
This 412-nucleotide non-coding RNA is filed under the name Oryza sativa Indica Group (long-grained rice). RNAcentral also lists the same sequence under 1 other name. Lineage: Eukaryota; Viridiplantae; Streptophyta; Magnoliopsida; Poales; Poaceae. The record is from RNAcentral.